Non-coding RNA from Saimiri boliviensis boliviensis (Bolivian squirrel monkey), 348 nucleotides. The record is from RefSeq and is a predicted model, not a curated record. Lineage: Eukaryota; Metazoa; Chordata; Mammalia; Primates; Cebidae.
GUGACCCUAGCCGGCCGCCAUCCCUGACGCCUGCGAGGGUCGCGUUUGUAGCGUGCGGGGGUCGCGCAGUGGCGGGCUGAGGUGAGCGUUUAGAGAUUUAGGGUCCGUGACUCGCCUCCAGCGGUGACGACAGAGGUCAUGGGUCAGUUGAGCAUUUUUGUCACCUGCAAAUAAUUUUAGCCAAGUGGCAAGUGUAUAUGGAAUAAGAAGAACCUGCUUCUGCCUCUAACUUGGGCAGUGGAUUUGUGGAAGCUUGCAAAAGACAGUCUGGUUAGAUGAGAUACUGCAUACCGAUAAAAAUCAGGAUUUGGGCCGGGCGCGGUGGCUCAAGCCUGUAAUCCCAGCACU